This is a transfer RNA of Alligator mississippiensis (American alligator), 74 nucleotides long. It matches the Rfam family "tRNA". Rfam says of the family: Transfer RNA (tRNA) molecules are approximately 80 nucleotides in length. Their secondary structure includes four short double-helical elements and three loops (D, anti-codon, and T loops). NCBI's taxonomy places the organism in Eukaryota, Metazoa, Chordata, Crocodylia, Alligatoridae. The record is from Rfam.
GGUGCUGUGGCUUAGUUGGUUAAAGCACCUAUCUAGUAAACAGGAGACCCUGGGUUCAAAUUCCAGUGGUGCCU